This 1014-nucleotide ribosomal RNA is filed under the name uncultured marine eubacterium HstpL94. RNAcentral's name for it is "bacterial SSU rRNA". It matches the Rfam family "Bacterial small subunit ribosomal RNA", at positions 42 to 1055 of the family's 1533-position model. The record is from RNAcentral.
GCAGGCCUAACACAUGCAAGUCGAGCGGUAACAUUUCUAGCUUGCUAGAAGAUGACGAGCGGCGGACGGGUGAGUAAUGCUUGGGAAUAUGCCUUAGGGUGGGGGACAACAGUUGGAAACGACUGCUAAUACCGCAUAACGUCUACGGACCAAAGGGGGCUUCGCUCUCGCCCUUAGAUUAGCCCAAGUGGGAUUAGCUAGUUGGUGAGGUAAUGGCUCACCAAGGCGACGAUCCCUAGCUGGUUUGAGAGGAUGAUCAGCCACACUGGAACUGAGACACGGUCCAGACUCCUACGGGAGGCAGCAGUGGGGAAUAUUGCACAAUGGGCGCAAGCCUGAUGCAGCCAUGCCGCGUGUGUGAAGAAGGCCUUAGGGUUGUAAAGCACUUUCAGUAAGGAGGAAAGGUUAGUAGUUAAUACCUGCUAGCUGUGACGUUACUUACAGAAGAAGCACCGGCUAACUCCGUGCCAGCAGCCGCGGUAAUACGGAGGGUGCGAGCGUUAAUCGGAAUUACUGGGCGUAAAGCGUACGCAGGCGGUUUGUUAAGCGAGAUGUGAAAGCCCCGGGCUCAACCUGGGAACUGCAUUUCGAACUGGCAAACUAGAGUAUGAUAGAGGGUGGUAGAAUUUCAGGUGUAGCGGUGAAAUGCGUAGAGAUCUGAAGGAAUACCGAUGGCGAAGGCAGCCACCUGGGUCAAUACUGACGCUCAUGUACGAAAGCGUGGGGAGCAAACGGGAUUAGAUACCCCGGUAGUCCACGCCGUAAACGAUGUCUACUAGGAGCUGGGGUCUUCGGACAACUUUUCCAAAGCUAACGCAUUAAGUAGACCGCCUGGGGUGUACGGCCGCAAGGUUAAAACUCAAAUGAAUUGACGGGGGCCCGCACAAGCGGUGGAGCAGGUGGUUUAAUUCGAUGCAACGCGAAGAACCUUACCUACACUUGACAUACAGAGAACUUACUAGAGAUAGUUUGGUGCCUUCGGGAACUCUGAUACAGGUGCUGCAUGGCUGUCGU